Molecule: ribosomal RNA, 451 nt
Filed under: uncultured Fibrobacter sp.
Lineage: Bacteria; Pseudomonadati; Fibrobacterota; Fibrobacteria; Fibrobacterales; Fibrobacteraceae
Description: partial 16S ribosomal RNA
Rfam family: Bacterial small subunit ribosomal RNA
Source: RNAcentral
ACGGGAGGCAGCAGUAGGGAAUAUUGCACAAUGGGGGGAACCCUGAUGCAGCAACGCCACGUGUGGGAAGAAGCAUUUCGGUGUGUAAACCACUGUCGUGAGGGAAUAAUGCUUGGCUCCGGCCAAGUUGAAUGUACCUCGAAAGGAAGCACCGGCAAACUUCGUGCCAGCAGCCGCGGUAAUACGAGGGGUGCAAGCGUUGUUCGGAAUCACUGGGCGUAAAGGGAGCGCAGGCGGGGAUGCAAGCAGUCUGUACAAUACCGGGGCCCAACCCCGGACCUGCAGACUGGACUGUUUCCCUUGGAUAGCUCAGGGGCUGGCGGAAUUCCUGGUGUAGCGGUGGAAUGCGUAGAGAUCAGGAAGAACACCGAUGGCGAAGGCAGCCAGCUGGGGGCUUAUCGACGCUCAUGCUCGAAAGUGCGGGUAGCAAACAGGAUUAGAUACCCUGAUA